UCCCUUAAAGCCAUUCUCAUUCGGAUUNUAGGCUGAAACUCGCCUACAUGAAGCUGGAGUUACUAGUAAUCGCAGAUCAGAAUGCUGCGGUGAAUGCGUUCCCGGGUCUUGUACACACCGCCCGUCACACCACGGAAGUUGGGGGCGCCCGAAGCCACUUAGCUAGCCCUUUUGGGAAGCGAGUGUCGAAGGUGAAAUCAAUAACUGGGGUGAAGUCGUAACAAGGUACC
Molecule: ribosomal RNA, 230 nt
Filed under: uncultured bacterium
Lineage: Bacteria
Description: partial 16S ribosomal RNA
Rfam family: Bacterial small subunit ribosomal RNA
Source: RNAcentral